RNAcentral lists this ribosomal RNA (494 nucleotides) under uncultured bacterium. Its description in RNAcentral is "partial 16S ribosomal RNA". It matches the Rfam family "Bacterial small subunit ribosomal RNA", at positions 28 to 507 of the family's 1533-position model. The record is from RNAcentral.
GACGAACGCUGGCGGCGUGCUUAACACAUGCAAGUCGAACGGAAAGGCCUGCUUUCCCUUGUGGAUUGCGGGUACUCGAGUGGCGAACGGGUGAGUAACACGUGAGUGAUCUGCCCCCAACUUGGGUAUAAGCCUGGGAAACUGGGUCUAAUUCCCGAUAGGACUGCAGGGUGGUGCCUGUGGUGGAAAACGAUUUUCUAGUGGUUGGGGAUGAGCUCGCGGCCUAUCAGCUUGUUGGUGGGGUAAUGGCCUACCAAGGCGGCGACGGGUAGCCGGCCUGGGAGGGUGGACGGCCAAAUUGGGACUGAGACACGGCCCAGACUGCUACGGGAGGCAGCAGUGGGGAAUAUUGCACAAUGGGCGGAAGCCUGAUGCAGCGCCGCCGCGUGGGGGAUGACGGCAUUCGGGUUGUAAACUCCUUUCGACCGCGAGGAAGCCACCUGGUUGGAAGGGUGGUGACGGUAGUGGUAGAAGAAGCGCCGGCUAACUACGUG